GUGCCAGCAGCCGCGGUAAUACGUAGGGUGCGAGCGUUAAUCGGAAUUACUGGGCGUAAAGCGUGCGCAGGCGGUUUUGUAAGUCAGAUGUGAAAUCCCCGAGCUCAACUUGGGAACUGCGUUUGAAACUACAAGACUAGAAUAGGUCAGAGGGGGGUAGAAUUCCACGUGUAGCAGUGAAAUGCGUAGAGAUGUGGAGGAAUAUCAAUGGCGAAGGCAGCCCCCUGGGAUCAUAUUGACGCUCAUGCACGAAAGCGUGGGGAGCAAACAGGAUUAGAUACCCUGGUAGUCC
Molecule: ribosomal RNA, 292 nt
Filed under: uncultured microorganism
Description: partial 16S ribosomal RNA
Rfam family: Bacterial small subunit ribosomal RNA
Source: RNAcentral